AAUAAAUUCAACCUUAUAGAACUCAAGUAAGUUAAAAAUCAUCUUCCAUUUUUGCCUAUUAAGUCAUGUUUAAAGUAUGCAAUCCAUAAUAAUGAUGGAGGAAGAGUAUCAUCGAUUAGUGUUGCUGGUUCAAACUGGAAUGGUGGGAAUUUGGCAGGAGAAUGAUGGUAACAGAGAGAGAUCAAAAGAAAAACGAGCACAAACUGAUGCUAACAGACAUCUCUGGGAGCCUAUUCAAAAAAAGAAAAAAAUACUAUAUAUAUAAUGCUGCUCAGCAUAUCACAUCACAGAAUUGAAGAAGUGGAAAACCGAAGUGUCCAACAAUAAGUAAGUAUUUUCAGAAAGUGAAAAUCACCCCUACCAGCCGACAGUUAGAACUAGGCUAUCAUAAACAGCAUACAUGAAACAUCAACACUCAUCGGGGCGACAUGGCGGUGACAGAGUCUGAGACGACAGAGGCAAGGACACUCAGCAACCACAGAACAUAACUAAAUAACCCCCUUUGUACUAGUUAUUUACCUCUGACAUCCAGCGUUGUUUCGAUUUCCUGACCUCCUAGAAAGAAUCGCCAACGUAGCCAAUUCCUGAAUUGCCACUGAAUUCUGACCGUAUCCAAUUCAGAAAUGGCCUACCUCUUCUUUAAGCCCUGCUUCGAAUCACCCCAAAGAAGCCCGCAUCCUUUAAUAGACCUUUGCCAAAAUUGUCUGCUGAGACUUCUACAGUUCCUCUGGAGACAACUCUCCCUUACCGUGUUAGCCUCCCUGAAACAUGAUCCGAAGUCUCAAUUUUCACCAAUAUUUCUUCAGAACUCUGAAAUACGAAGAACCAAAAUCAUCAGCUGCGAAAUAUAUGCAUAACUGAGGUAACUCGUAAUUCUAGCAUUGAAAAAAAUAUAACGAGCCAUUUAAUUUCACUUAUAAUCUUCUAAUUAAGUAGCAACAACCUUUUUUUAAGGAUGAGUCAGUGUGUUCUGUUUUAACUAUUUCUCUACGUCCACCAUUUCUAUUCUAGGAUUAUCUAUAUAGAAAAUGUGGGCGUCAAAACCUAAGUUUAGUCCUUUUGUAAUGGCUGUCUUAUGAUAUAUCCCUGAUAUAUUUCUAUUGACUCGUCAUCGUUUCUUGAUUUCUACUCUAUUGGCUUCAUAUUCAAGAGGCUUACAAAGUUAUCAUUGAUAGGAGAGACAGAAAAGCAUAUAUACUUUAAAUAACCAAACGAUCUAAGAAG
RNAcentral lists this long non-coding RNA (1224 nucleotides) under Felis catus (domestic cat). RNAcentral describes it as "lncRNA (ENSFCAG00000044546.1)". Lineage: Eukaryota; Metazoa; Chordata; Mammalia; Carnivora; Felidae. The record is from RNAcentral.